AAUUUUUUCCAAUGGGGGAAACCUUGAUCUACCCAUGCCGCGUGGGGGGAGAGAGCCUUUGGUUUGUAAAGCCCUUUUUUUUGGGAAAAGAUCCUUCCCGUUAAUACCCCGCGGGGAUGACGGUACCCGAAGAGUAAGCCCCGGCUAAAUUUGUGCCAGCAGCCGCGGUAAUACGAAGGGUGCGAGCGUUAUUCGGAAUUUUUGGGGGUAAAGCGUGCGCAGGGGGUUUUUUAAGUCUGAUGUGAAAGCCCCCGGCUCAACCCGGGAAAUGCACUGGAAACUGGGGGACUUGAGUGUGGGAGAGGGGAGGGGAAUUUUCGGUGUAGCGGUGAAAUGCGUAGAGAUCGGGAGGAACACCCGUGGGGAAGGCGGCCUCCUGGGCCCACACUGACACUGAGGCGCGAAAGCGUGGGGAGCAAACAGGAUUAGAUACCCCGGUAGUCCACGCCCUAAACGAUGAGAACUAGAUGUUAGGUUCAAUUUGGCCCUCAGUAUCGAAGCUAACGCGUAAGCUCUCCGCCUGGAGACG
Molecule: ribosomal RNA, 529 nt
Filed under: uncultured Gammaproteobacteria bacterium
Lineage: Bacteria; Pseudomonadati; Pseudomonadota; Gammaproteobacteria
Description: partial 16S ribosomal RNA
Rfam family: Bacterial small subunit ribosomal RNA
Source: RNAcentral